RNAcentral lists this ribosomal RNA (1475 nucleotides) under uncultured rumen bacterium. RNAcentral's name for it is "bacterial SSU rRNA". It matches the Rfam family "Bacterial small subunit ribosomal RNA". The record is from RNAcentral.
AGAGUUUGAUCCUGGCUCAGAGUGAACGCUGGCGGCGUGCCUAAUACAUGCAAGUCGAACGGACAAGUAAGAGCUUGCUCUUAUGAGUUAGUGGCGCACGGGUGAGUAAUGUAUAGUUAAUCUGCCCUACACUGGAGGACAACAGUUAGAAAUGACUGCUAAUACUCCAUACUCCUUCUUAACACAAGUUAAGUCGGGAAAGUUUUUCGGUGUAGGAUGAGACUAUAUUGUAUCAGCUAGUUGGUAAGGUAAUGGCUUACCAAGGCUAUGACGCAUAACUGGUCUGAGAGGAUGAUCAGUCACACUGGAACUGAGACACGGUCCAGACUCCUACGGGAGGCAGCAGUAGGGAAUAUUGCUCAAUGGGGGAAACCCUGAAGCAGCAACGCCGCGUGGAGGAUGACACUUUUCGGAGCGUAAACUCCUUUUGUUAGGGAAGAACACUGACGGUACCUAACGAAUAAGCACCGGCUAACUCCGUGCCAGCAGCCGCGGUAAUACGGAGGGUGCAAGCGUUACUCGGAAUCACUGGGCGUAAAGGACGCGUAGGGCGGAUUAUCAAGUCUCUUGUGAAAUCUAACGGCUUAACCGUUAAACUGCUUGGGAAACUGGUAAUCUAGAGUAAGGAGAGGUAGAUGGAAUUCUUGGUGUAGGGGUAAAAUCCGUAGAGAUCAAGAAGAAUACCCAUUGCGAAGGCGAUCUACUGGAACUUAACUGACGCUAAUGCGUGAAAGCGUGGGGAGCAAACAGGAUUAGAUACCCUGGUAGUCCACGCCCUAAACGAUGUAUACUGGUUGUUGCUAUGCUAGUCAUGGCAGUAAUCCACCUAACGGAUUAAGUAUACCGCCUGGGGAGUACGGUCGCAAGAUUAAAACUCAAAGGAAUAGACGGGGACCCGCACAAGCGGUGGAGCAUGUGGUUUAAUUCGAAGAUACGCGAAGAACCUUACCUAAGCUUGAUAUCCAACAAAUCUCUUAGAGAUAAGAGAGUGCUAGCUUGCUAGAAUGUUGAGACAGGUGCUGCACGGCUGUCGUCAGCUCGUGUCGUGAGAUGUUGGGUUAAGUCCCGCAACGAGCGCAACCCACGUAUUUAGUUGCUAACGGUUCAGCCGAGCACUCUAAAUAGACUGCCUUCGUAAGGAGGAGGAAGGUGUGGACGACGUCAAGUCAUCAUGGCCCUUAUGCCUAGGGCGACACACGUGCUACAAUGGCAUAUACAAUGAGACGCAAUAUCGCGAGAUGGAGCAAAUCUAUAAAAUAUGUCCCAGUUCGGAUUGUUCUCUGCAACUCGAGAGCAUGAAGCCGGAAUCGCUAGUAAUCGUAGAUCAGCCAUGCUACGGUGAAUACGUUCCCGGGUCUUGUACUCACCGCCCGUCACACCAUGGGAGUUGAUUUCACUCGAAGCCGGAAUGCUAAACUAGCUACCGUCCACAGUGGAAUCAGCGACUGGGGUGAAGUCGUAACAAGGUAACCGUA